GAUACAUGAUACAAUGUGGACGAACCUUGAAGAUGUUAUGCUAAGUGAAAGAAGCUAGAAACAAAGAUGACACGUUUUAUUAUUCCAUUCAUAUGAAAUAUCCAGAACAAGGUCACCCCAGGGAAGGCUGGAAGACAGAGGAAGAGGACAUGGUCUGUUUUUGCAUCUUUCCUCCCACAUUGGCUAAAGAAGACAGAGGGAAGAGGACAAGGAUGAACUGUACUGAAAGGUGACUCCCGGAGAGUGAGCAGACUCUGGCCUUAGUCGGGGAGAAGGGGAGAUGGCGUCGCCGAAUUACGGCAUUCACUCUGCCUAUGGCCACCAGUUUCGCUGCCUGGCUUCCUGGAGCCAGUGGGGCUUCCUGCAGGUCGGGAGACAGACCUUAUGCCUCUGUGGCCUCAGCUCUACCCCGAAAACUGAGGGCUGACAAUAAAUGUCUGCGAAAGAAGCCUGUGAGGGAAUUAGAGAGAUUCUGACCUGCCUGAGAAACCAGAAGUGGAUAGAUUGGUAUGAAUCAAGUGUGAAGCACGCUCAGGAUAGAGGGUCCCGACUCCUCGUCCCCAAGAGCUGAGCCUUGAUCGUCCUGGCAGAGGCGUCCUGCUCUUUCGGCAGUCCACGGGCACAAGAGGUAACUCAAGGUGCUUGCAGAGAAAAACCUUUUUUUGCGGUGUGGUAGUUUCUUUUCUACUUCUUAGAGAUUUCCUUUUUGCCUUUACUCUCUCAGGUUUUCUUUUCUUUAUUUCAUUUUUGUUUUGUUUUUAAAAGUACUUAACUGCCACUUAAGGACUGCCCAACGUUUUGAUAAUAUUUUGCAAGCAAGUCAUGCCUUUUAAAGUUACACACUUAUAGAAAGUUACUACCAGUGGGAAAAAUCCUUUACCAAAUACAUAAAGAUGCAUGGCUGUGUCAUUUUCCUCACUGCAAAACCUAAUUUCAUGGACUUACCACCUCAUGUGUUUAGGACAUAAAUUUCAAUAUGUACUUCUAAAGAAGGAAGGAAAAAGAAUAAAAUUAAUAGAUGUUAUUUCUAAGUGAUGGUACUAUGAG
Molecule: long non-coding RNA, 1047 nt
Filed under: Equus caballus (horse)
Lineage: Eukaryota; Metazoa; Chordata; Mammalia; Perissodactyla; Equidae
Description: lncRNA (ENSECAG00000045883.1)
Source: RNAcentral